ACCGGUGACCAAAGCGGCGGGGCCACACCUGUUCCCAUCCCGAACACAGCAGUUAAGCCCGCCCGCGCCGAUGAUACUCGGCGGGCAACCGCCCGGAAAAGCAGGUCGUCGCCGGUU
Molecule: ribosomal RNA, 117 nt
Filed under: Eubacteriales Family XIII. Incertae Sedis bacterium
Lineage: Bacteria; Bacillati; Bacillota; Clostridia; Peptostreptococcales; Anaerovoracaceae
Source: RNAcentral